CACUUCUAAGGAAGGCAGCAGGCGCGCAAAUUACCCAAUCCUGACUCAGGGAGGUAGUGACAAGAAAUAACAAUAAACCGGCUUAUGCCGGUUUAAUUGGAAUGAGUACAAUUUAAACAUCUUAACGAGGAACAAUUGGAGGGCAAGUCUGGUGCCAGCAGCCGCGGUAAUUCCAGCUCCAAUAGCGUAUACUAAAGUUGUUGCAGUUAAAAAGCUCGUAGUUGGAUUUCUGUGGGGACGGAGCGGCCGGCCGCAACUCGCGGUUCGAGCUAGCGCUUUCCCUACAUCCUGCCGCGAACCGUGCUACCAUUAGUUUGGUGGCGCCGGGGAUCGGCUCGAUUACUUUGAGAAAAAUAGAGUGUUCAAAGCAGGCCACAUGCCUUGAAUAAGUUAGCAUGGAAUAAUAACUAAGGACUUCGGUUCUAUUUUGUUGGUGUUCGGGACUGAAGUAAUGAUUGAUAGGGACAGUUGGGGCGGUCUGUAUUCCAAAGCGAGAGGUGAAAUUCUUAGACCUUCGGAAGACAAACAGCUGCGAAAGCGUUCCGCAAGGAUGUUCCCUUUGAUCAGGAACGAAAGUUGGGGGAUCGAAGACGAUCAGAUACCGUCGUAGUCUCAACUAUAAACUAUACCAGCUAGGGAUCGGCCAACGUUAUUUCAAACCGACUUGGUCGGCACCUUAUGAGAAAUCAAAGCAUCUGGGUUCCGGGGGGAGUAUGGUCGCAAGGCUGAAACUUAAAGGAAUUGACGGAAGGGCACCACCAGCCGUGGAGCCUGUGGCUUAAUUUGACUCAACACGGGAAAACUUACCAGGUCCAGACAUAGUAAGGAUUGACAGAUUGAUAGCUCUUUCUUGAUUCUGUGGGUGGUGGUGCAUGGCCGUUCUUAGUUGGUGGAGUGAUUUGUCUGGUUAAUUCCGUUAACGAACGAGACCCCAGCCUGCUAAAUAGCGCGCGUGAGCUUUGCUCGCGGCGAGCUUCUUAGAGGGACUAUGAUGCGCGAUAGCACAUGGAAGUUUGGGGCAAUAACAGGUCUGUGAUGCCCUUAGAUGUUCUGGACCGCACACGGGCUACACUGGCGCCUGCAACGAGCAUAUCAGCUGGCCCGAGAGGGUCUUGGCUAACCUUUUGAACCGGCGCCGUGCUUGGGAUUGACCUUUGCAAUUGUUGGUCAUGCAACGAGGAAUGCCUUGUAAACGCGAGUCAUCAGCUCGCAUUGAAUACGUCCCUGCCCUUUGUACACACCGCCCGUCGCUCCUACCGAUGAAUGUUCCGAUGAAAUUUUCGGAGAGUGCCUGUGAACUUGGCUCUGCCUUGCGAACGGGAAGCUCAAAGUCACUUAAAUCUGAACAUCUC
This 1352-nucleotide ribosomal RNA is filed under the name uncultured marine eukaryote. RNAcentral's name for it is "SSU rRNA". It matches the Rfam family "Eukaryotic small subunit ribosomal RNA", at positions 411 to 1775 of the family's 1831-position model. The record is from RNAcentral.